RNAcentral lists this ribosomal RNA (459 nucleotides) under uncultured bacterium. RNAcentral describes it as "partial 16S ribosomal RNA". It matches the Rfam family "Bacterial small subunit ribosomal RNA", at positions 338 to 795 of the family's 1533-position model. The record is from RNAcentral.
CCUACGGGAGGCAGCAGUGAGGAAUAUUGGUCAAUGGGCGAGAGCCUGAACCAGCCAAGUCGCGUGAGGGAAGACGGUCCUAUGGAUUGUAAACCUCUUUUGCCGGGGAGCAAAAAGCGGUACGUGUACCGCAUCGAGAGUACCCGGCGAAAAAGCAUCGGCUAACUCCGUGCCAGCAGCCGCGGUAAUACGGAGGAUGCGAGCGUUAUCCGGAUUUAUUGGGUUUAAAGGGUGCGCAGGCGGCGAGUUAAGUCAGCGGUAAAAUUUCGGGGCUCAACCCCGACAAGCCGUUGAAACUGGCUGGCUAGAGUGGGCUAGAAGUAUGCGGAAUGCGUGGUGUAGCGGUGAAAUGCAUAGAUAUCACGCAGAACUCCGAUUGCGAAGGCAGCAUACCGGCGCCCAACUGACGCUCAGGCACGAAAGCGUGGGUAUCGAACAGGAUUAGAUACCCCGGUAGUC